RNAcentral lists this ribosomal RNA (232 nucleotides) under uncultured bacterium. RNAcentral describes it as "partial 16S ribosomal RNA". It matches the Rfam family "Bacterial small subunit ribosomal RNA", at positions 100 to 334 of the family's 1533-position model. The record is from RNAcentral.
CGGGACGGGUGAGUAAUGUCUGGGAAACUGCCUGAUGGAGGGGGAUAACUACUGGAAACGGUAGCUAAUACCGCAUAACGUCGCAAGACCAAAGAGGGGGACCUUCGGGCCUCUUGCCAUCGGAUGUGCCCAGAUGGGAUUAGCUAGUAGGUGGGGUAACGGCUCACCUAGGCGACGAUCCCAGCUGGUCUGAGAGGAUGACCAGCCACACUGGAACUGAGACACGGUCCAG